RNAcentral lists this ribosomal RNA (50 nucleotides) under Bacillus cereus. RNAcentral's name for it is "partial 23S ribosomal RNA". The record is from RNAcentral. Lineage: Bacteria; Bacillati; Bacillota; Bacilli; Caryophanales; Bacillaceae. RNAcentral also lists the same sequence under 11 other names.
UGGUGACAUGUGGAGCUGACGAAUACUAAUAGAUCGAGGACUUAACCAUA